UCUUCCCGAAGGAAACUUGGACCGACCAAAGAGGAUGUUCAGGAAAACGCACCACACGAGUUAAGGAAAAGAUUGAAAUCCUCAGCACUCAGUAACCUGGUAAACGCUGGGUCUAUAUCAGAUGAAUCGUUUAACCUUCCAGUCGAUACAAAAUGCAACAGUGAAGCGCAGGAAGGAUAUGGCUCUAGCCUGAACUCAAAACUUUCACCGUUCUCAUCUUCGGAACCUAAAUUGCCUUCCCAGGGUGGACAGCCAAAGAAUGAUGAGAAAAGUUGCAAACGAGAUGAAGUAAUUGCUACCGUUGGCUAUCAGGACGAGGAAUCAGACUCCAGUGAAGACGACGACGGGAUCAGCAUAGAAGAAUUACAGAAAACACCUGGAUGGCUGUUGUUCGUGAAGAACGUGGAAAGACAUUUCGAGCGAGAAGACUUUGGCAAUCAAUGAAAAAUCAUGUCAUUUUUAAAACGCCACUAUUUUAUUUAUCUAUCUAUUGUUUGCUAUUGCUUAAGGUGUCGAAAAGUAUUCUUGUCUUUCAAUCUCUCGAUAAGUAAAUCUCUUUCUACUUUUUAAAUGAUAUCUGGCAGGGGAGUUUAAUUACAUUUCAGGAAACAACAAAAUGUUUCGAUUACUGACAACAUUAAUGGCGAAGCAGUCUGUAGCUUUCAAACGUAGCUUUUUGUUUUUAUUUCCUCCUGCUUUGCUUUCCAACAUGUUAAGACGUCUCAUCUUGAUGCAACAUAGCCUAAAUUAUUAAUAAGACACUCAAACUUACCGUUACCUGCUAUGAAAAUGAUGUUGAAGUUGGACACUUGUUACAGGUAAGCUAGUUUCCGCACAGUAACAGUCGCCCUUUACACCUUUAAUAUGUCCUGAACAGAACUGAAUAUUCGAAAGUGGCGAACGCUUGUUGGCGAUCGCGAUGUAUAUAAAGCUCUUAUACCACCAGCCCUCUAUUGGGUGUACACUCGUUGUGUGUCAGCAGCCAGUUUGUUUCUUAGAAUAUUCCCUCCCUAGCUAUAGACGGCUGAUAAGGGUAUUAAUCGUACCCAGCUCCACAAGAUCAGACACAUUCACUGCACAUAAUUUUUGGAUGAUUUAUCGCGAUGUAAAUAAAGCUGUUGAACUACA
Long non-coding RNA from Stylophora pistillata, 1128 nucleotides. The record is from RefSeq and is a predicted model, not a curated record. NCBI's taxonomy places the organism in Eukaryota, Metazoa, Cnidaria, Anthozoa, Scleractinia, Pocilloporidae.